CUCUAACCAUCGUGGGUUCGCCCACCUCAGUGUUUGGCC
Molecule: ribosomal RNA, 39 nt
Filed under: Scolecobasidium phaeophorum
Lineage: Eukaryota; Fungi; Ascomycota; Dothideomycetes; Venturiales; Sympoventuriaceae
Description: Ochroconis phaeophora partial 28S ribosomal RNA
Source: RNAcentral